This 73-nucleotide transfer RNA is filed under the name Albula glossodonta (roundjaw bonefish). It matches the Rfam family "tRNA". Rfam says of the family: Transfer RNA (tRNA) molecules are approximately 80 nucleotides in length. Their secondary structure includes four short double-helical elements and three loops (D, anti-codon, and T loops). Lineage: Eukaryota; Metazoa; Chordata; Actinopteri; Albuliformes; Albulidae. The record is from Rfam by way of RNAcentral.
GACCAUGCAGUCUAAUGGGUAAGAUGUCCAACUUCAGAUCACAACAUUGAGGGUUCAAGUCCCUUUGUGGCCA